ACACGAGAAGGGAGGUGGUUCGGCAGAUGUAUGAAUACCGGACGCGUGAGGUGGCUGCGGGCUAGCGGCCCGUCACCCCGCUCUGUGCGGUGCCGGACCAGCGUGCAAUACGAGCACGCAGCCGGCCUAUCCCAAGCAGUCACCCGACCCGCGGGCUGCCGGUACGUCCGGCCGGCUCCUCCUCGGAGGAACCCAGCCCGCGGGUCGUCUGCG
This 213-nucleotide small RNA is filed under the name Streptomyces monashensis. RNAcentral describes it as "Streptomyces sp. MUSC 1 Actinobacteria sRNA Ms_IGR-5". It matches the Rfam family "Actinobacteria sRNA Ms_IGR-5". The record is from Rfam by way of RNAcentral. Lineage: Bacteria; Bacillati; Actinomycetota; Actinomycetes; Kitasatosporales; Streptomycetaceae.